Molecule: long non-coding RNA, 324 nt
Filed under: Malus domestica (apple)
Lineage: Eukaryota; Viridiplantae; Streptophyta; Magnoliopsida; Rosales; Rosaceae
Description: long non-coding RNA (MDOM_LNC001691)
Source: RNAcentral
CAACUCUCUCAAAUGCAGAAGCAAGUCCAAGGCUUCCAAAUCCUUUCUCAAUCUUUAAAAGCAUCCACAUCCGCAACACAUACCCAACCCAAUCGUUCUUCCAAGACAUCAGAUCCAUCGCUGCAAAGUAGAGUAGCCCUCUGAUGGCGAUUUCAUUUGAUAAAACAUGGAAAAACUCAAACAUCGACGAUGAUCGGUACCUCAUUCUGUUCGAUUCACUUCACAAAGCCCUUUGACUCCCCAAGGUAGCAAAGACAAGCCUAGGAAUGAGAGGGAUGGAGAUAGGGUGGAAAGGUCGAUGAAUAUGGGACUAGGUGUGGCCGU